CGUAGGGGGCUAGCGUUGUCCGGAAUCAUUGGGCGUAAAGCGCGUGUAGGCGGUUCGGUAAGUCCGCUGUGAAAGUCGGGGGCUCAACCCUCGGAUGCCGGUGGAUACUGUCGGACUAGAGUACGGAAGAGGCGAGUGGAAUUCCUGGUGUAGCGGUGAAAUGCGCAGAUAUCAGGAGGAACACCGGUGGCGAAGGCGGAUCUCUGGGCCAUUACUGACGCUGAGGAGCGAAAGCGUGGGGAGCAAACAGG
RNAcentral lists this ribosomal RNA (251 nucleotides) under uncultured bacterium. RNAcentral's name for it is "partial 16S ribosomal RNA". It matches the Rfam family "Bacterial small subunit ribosomal RNA", at positions 526 to 776 of the family's 1533-position model. The record is from RNAcentral.